Molecule: ribosomal RNA, 1210 nt
Filed under: uncultured fungus
Lineage: Eukaryota; Fungi
Description: eukaryotic LSU rRNA
Rfam family: Eukaryotic large subunit ribosomal RNA (bases 546-1210)
Source: RNAcentral
AAGUCGUAACAAGGUUUCCGUAGGUGAACCUGCGGAAGGAUCAUUAUCGAAAUAAAUCUGAACAGGCUGUUGCUGGUCGGAAGACAUGUGCACGCUUGUCCUCUUUAUUUUUCCAACUGUGCACAUAUUGUAGACCUUUUUGAGGGAAUGAUGGCCAAGGUCUAUGUUACAUUUAACAACUUGUUGUAGAAUGGGGGGAUAUGAAACAAAUAUACAACUUUCAGCAACGGAUCUCUUGGCUCUCGCAUCGAUGAAGAACGCAGCGAAAUGCGAUAAGUAAUGUGAAUUGCAGAAUUCAGUGAAUCAUCGAAUCUUUGAACGCAUCUUGCGCUCCUUGGUAUUCCGAGGAGCAUGCCUGUUUGAGUGUCAUCAAGUUCUCAACCAUACCUCGGUGUGGCUUGGAUCUGGGGGUUUUUGCAGGCUUCAAAGAAAGUCGGCUCCCCUGAAAAGCAUUAGCGGUGUCCGAGUACCUUUGGUGUGAUAACUAUCUAUGCCUUGGUGUAUACGAUGCAUGCUGCUUCUGAACUUCAUUUUAUUGACAAAUUUGACCUCAAAUCAGGUAGGAUUACCCGCUGAACUUAAGCAUAUCAAUAAGCGGAGGAAAAGAAACUAACAAGGAUUCCCCUAGUAACUGCGAGUGAAGCGGGAAAAGCUCAAAUUUAAAAUCUGGCGGUCGUUGGCCGUCCGAGUUGUAAUCUAGAGAAGUGUUACCUGUGCUGGACCGUGUACAAGUCUCCUGGAAUGGAGCAUCAUAGAGGGUGAGAAUCCCGUCUUUGACAUGGACUGCCUGUACAUGAUGGUGCGCUCUCGAAGAGUCGAGUUGUUUGGGAAUGCAGCUCAAAAUGGGUGGUAAAUGCCAUCUAAAGCUAAAUAUUGGCGAGAGACCGAUAGCGAACAAGUACCGUGAGGGAAAGAUGAAAAGAACUUUGGAAAGAGAGUUAAACAGUACGUGAAAUUGCUGAAAGGGAAACGCUUGAAGUCAGUCGCGUUGGCUAGAAAUCAGCCUUGCUCUUGCUCGGUGUACUUUCUUGUCGACGGGUCAGCAUCAGUUUUGACCAUUGGAGAAGGACAUUGGGAAUGUGGCAUCCUUGGAUGUGUUAUAGCCCGGUGUCGCAUACGAUGGUUGGGAUUGAGGAACUCAGCACGCCGCAAGGCCGGGUCUCUGACCACGUUCGUGCUUAGGAUGCUGGCAUAAUGGCUUUAAUCGACC